CCUACGGGUGGCAGCAGUGGGGAAUAUUGCGCAAUGGGCGAAAGCCUGACGCAGCGACGCCGCGUGAGGGAUGAAGGUCUUCGGAUCGUAAAGCUCUAUCAGCAGGGAAUAGAAAAGAAGGUACCUGAAAAAGAAGCCCCGGCUAACUACGUGCCAGCAGCCGCGGUAAUACGGAGGGGGCAAGCGAUAUCCGGAUUUACUGGGGUUAAAGGGAGCGUAGACGGAAAGGCAAGUCAGAAGUGAAAGCCCAAGGCUCAACCAUGGGACUGCUUUUGAAACUGUCAAACUAGAGUACGGGAGAGGUAAGAGGAAUUCCUAGUGUAGCGGUGAAAUGCGUAGAGAUUAGGAGGAACACCAGUGGCGAAGGCGUCUUACUGGACCGAAACUGACGUUGAGGCUCGAAAGCGUGGGGAGCAAACAGGAUUAGAUACCCCGGUAGUC
Molecule: ribosomal RNA, 441 nt
Filed under: uncultured bacterium
Lineage: Bacteria
Description: partial 16S ribosomal RNA
Rfam family: Bacterial small subunit ribosomal RNA
Source: RNAcentral